RNAcentral lists this ribosomal RNA (377 nucleotides) under uncultured organism. Its description in RNAcentral is "partial 16S ribosomal RNA". It matches the Rfam family "Bacterial small subunit ribosomal RNA", at positions 527 to 896 of the family's 1533-position model. The record is from RNAcentral.
GUAGGGCCCAAGCGUUUGUCCGGAUUUAUUGGGCGUAAAGAGCUCGUAGGCGGUUCGGUAAGUCGGGUGUGAAAACUCAGGGCUCAACCCUGAGACGCCACUCGAUACUGCCAUGACUAGAGUCCGGUAGGGGAGCGUGGAAUUCCUGGUGUAGCGGUGAAAUGCGCAGAUAUCAGGAGGAACACCGAUAGCGAAGGCAGCGCUCUGGGCCGGUACUGACGCUGAGGAGCGAAAGCGUGGGGAGCAAACAGGGAUUAGAUACCCUGGUAGUCCACGCCGUAAACGUUGGGCACUAGGUGUGGGUUCCCAUCCAACGGAAUCCGUGCCGUAGCUAACGCAUUAAGUGCCCCCGCCUGGGGAGUACGGCCGCAAGGCUA